UGGUUUUAGCUAAUUAAAGUGUCUGAGUUGCAAUUAGAUGAUGUGGGCGCAGCUUGCAGGUCUUC
Molecule: transfer RNA, 65 nt
Filed under: Cnemaspis nuicamensis
Lineage: Eukaryota; Metazoa; Chordata; Lepidosauria; Squamata; Gekkonidae
Description: partial tRNA-Ala
Source: RNAcentral